GCGGCCUAUCAGCUUGUUGGGGAGGUAACGGCUCACCAAGGCUUCGACGGGUAGCUGGUCUGAGAGGAUGAUCAGCCACACUGGGACUGAGACACGGCCCAGACUCCUACGGGAGGCAGCAGUGGGGAAUCUUGCGCAAUGGGCGAAAGCCUGACGCAGCCACGCCGCGUGCGGGAUGAAGGCCUUAGGGUUGUAAACCGCUUUUAACAGGAACGAAAAUGACGGUACCUGUAGAAUAAGGUGCGGCCAACUACGUGCCAGCAGCCGCGGUGACACGUAGGCACCAAGCGUUGUCCGGAUUUAUUGGGCGUAAAGAGCUCGUAGGCGGUUCAGUAAGUCGGGCGUGAAAACUCUGGGCUUAACCCAGAGACGCCACUCGAUACUAUUGUGACUAGAGUUCGGUAGGGGAGACUGGAAUUCCU
This 422-nucleotide ribosomal RNA is filed under the name uncultured Actinomycetes bacterium. RNAcentral's name for it is "bacterial SSU rRNA". It matches the Rfam family "Bacterial small subunit ribosomal RNA", at positions 233 to 671 of the family's 1533-position model. The record is from RNAcentral. Lineage: Bacteria; Bacillati; Actinomycetota; Actinomycetes.